Molecule: non-coding RNA, 110 nt
Organism: Acanthosepion pharaonis
Lineage: Eukaryota; Metazoa; Mollusca; Cephalopoda; Sepiida; Sepiidae
Source: the annotation of a GenBank genome assembly
UACGGCCACAUCACGUUGAAACACCAGUUCCCGUACGAUCACAAGUUAAGCAACGUUGAGCCAGAUCAGUACCUGGAUGGGUAACCGCAUGGGAAUAGCAGAUGCAGUAA